UUUUAACGCUGAGGUGUGAUGACGAGGCACUACGGUGCUGAAGUAACAAAUGCCCUGCUUCCAGGAAAAGCCUCUAAGCAUCAGGUAACAUCAAAUCGUACCCCAAACCGACACAGGUGGUCAGGUAGAGAAUACCAAGGCGCUUGAGAGAACUCGGGUGAAGGAACUAGGCAAAAUGGUGCCGUAACUUCGGGAGAAGGCACGCUGAUAUGUAGGUGAAGCCCCUGCGGGUGGAGCUGAAAUCAGUCGAAGAUACCAGCUGGCUGCAACUGUUUAUUAAAAACACAGCACUGUGCAAACACGAAAGUGGACGUAUACGGUGUGACGCCUGCCCGGUGCCGGAAGGUUAAUUGAUGGGGUUAGCGGCAACGCGAAGCUCUUGAUCGAAGCCCCGGUAAACGGCGGCCGUAACUAUAACGGUCCUAAGGUAGCGAAAUUCCUUGUCGGGUAAGUUCCGACCUGCACGAAUGGCGUAAUGAUGGCCAGGCUGUCUCCACCCGAGACUCAGUGAAAUUGAACUCGCUGUGAAGAUGCAGUGUACCCGCGGCAAGACGGAAAGACCCCGUGAACCUUUACUAUAGCUUGACACUGAACACUGGUCCUUGAUGUGUAGGAUAGGUGGGAGGCUUUGAAGUGUGGACGCCAGUCUGCAUGGAGCCGUCCUUGAAAUACCACCCUUUAAUGGCUGGUGUUCUAACGUAGACCCGUGAUCCGGGUUGCGGACAGUGUCUGGUGGGUAGUUUGACUGGGGCGGUCUCCUCCCAAAGAGUAACGGAGGAGCACGAAGGUUAGCUAAUCCUGGUCGGACAUCAGGAGGUUAGUGCAAUGGCAUAAGCUAGCUUGACUGCGAGAGUGACGGCUCGAGCAGGUGCGAAAGCAGGUCAUAGUGAUCCGGUGGUUCUGAAUGGAAGGGCCAUCGCUCAACGGAUAAAAGGUACUCCGGGGAUAACAGGCUGAUACCGCCCAAGAGUUCAUAUCGACGGCGGUGUUUGGCACCUCGAUGUCGGCUCAUCACAUCCUGGGGCUGAAGUAGGUCCCAAGGGUAUGGCUGUUCGCCAUUUAAAGUGGUACGCGAGCUGGGUUUAGAACGUCGUGAGACAGUUCGGUCCCUAUCUGCCGUGGGCGCUGGAGAAUUGAGGGGGGCUGCUCCUAGUACGAGAGGACCGGAGUGGACGCAUCACUGGUGUUCGGGUUGUCAUGCCAAUGGCACUGCCCGGUAGCUAAAUGCGGAAAAGAUAAGUGCUGAAAGCAUCUAAGCACGAAACUUGCCCCGAGAUGAGUUCUCCCUGAGACUUUAAGUCUCCUGAAGGAACGUUGAAGACGACGACGUUGAUAGGUCGGGUGUGUAAGCGCAGCGAUGCGUUGAGCUAACCGAUACUAAUGAACCGUGAGGCUUAACCUU
This 1402-nucleotide ribosomal RNA is filed under the name Enterobacter roggenkampii. Its description in RNAcentral is "partial 23S ribosomal RNA". It matches the Rfam family "Bacterial large subunit ribosomal RNA", at positions 1548 to 2925 of the family's 2925-position model. The record is from RNAcentral. Lineage: Bacteria; Pseudomonadati; Pseudomonadota; Gammaproteobacteria; Enterobacterales; Enterobacteriaceae.